Heterocephalus glaber (naked mole-rat) is the source of this 1419-nucleotide long non-coding RNA. Lineage: Eukaryota; Metazoa; Chordata; Mammalia; Rodentia; Bathyergidae. The record is from Ensembl.
GUGAGAUCUCGUGGGAGGGCACCCAUUAGGCCGCGUGUGACCAUGUAAGAUUUUGCUGUUCCAAGUGUGGUCCUCGGCUCAGGAGCAUUGAUAACCACCCAGAGCUUGUGAGAAAUACAGAACGGCAGCCCCAUCUGCUGAACUACAGACUCGAGGAAUUGCAGUAAGCAUUUCAACAAAAUCCCCAGGUACUUUCUCAUCACUGGGACAAAAUACCCAGCACCCACAACUUAAUGGAGGAAAGGUUUAUUUUGGCUCAUGGUUCAGUCCACUGUUGGCUGGCUCCAAGGCAGGAGCAGGAUGGCAGAAGGGCCUGGCAGAGGAAAAGCUGCCCAACUCAUGGCAGCCAAGAAGCUGAGAGAGAAGGGCAGAGCCAAGGAUAAGAACACAGCCUUCCAGGCCACUCUUCCCGUGAUGAGUCUCCAACCAGGCCCUACCUCCCACCAGCAAAUCCAGCUUCUGAACUCAAUGGAUGAAUCCACUGUGUUGAAGGGAAACUUUUCAGAUUAGAGCAAAGCAGAAGAUAAUUGUUUGGGGGCCAACUGCAUGUUAUCCUUGUGGAGAUGAGAGCAUGGUCAGAUUUGGGGCACCUGCCUGCACCACCCCCGUGGAGACUGGAUACACACCCUCAUUCUCUCUUUUCCUGUCUUUAUGAGUAGCCCCUCUGCAAGAUAACUGCCUAGACUUGCAAGACUGCCUUGGCCUUAAAACCAAUUAUUUUCUUUAUAUUUAGCCAAAUGAUUCAUAGAAGCUCCAAAUUGUGGAAACUUGGGGUUUUUUAAGGUUGAUGAGAUCACCUAACAAUCCAGACCCUUCUCUUUCUAGUUGAGGAGGUCACACCCCAGAGAUGAAGUACCUUGCUCAAGGUCACCAGCCUGUUUGAAACAGAGCCUGCUGCAUUAUAACCAUGUCCUUCAGAAUUCAAGGUUAACAACAAGUGACCAUGUAGAUCUAAGACUGAGCACAUUUCUGGUUCUCAUUUCCUUUGUCUUGGUUUAUAACUUCUCUUUAUAGCUUUAUUAUUAUUCCAGUAUUGAUGAGGAAUCCCAACCAGUUAUGGUGGGAAGCAACUAUUGUUACCAUAAAGGACAGAACAGCUCUCCUAACUCCUGAUCCAGACCUCUUUCCUGUGUCAAAAGGGCUGCAGGCUCAUUAUCCUUUCCCUGUCACUGACAAUACCUGCUGGGUCUGUGGAACCCUGAACUCACAGUGUAAGCAGCACACUGCAGAUACUCAUACACUUUCUAAAUGCAAAUUCCUUGAAAAUGAUUUUUUAAUGUUUUUCAGGUAAAAUAGAGGAAGUGUGUGCAUCUACUUAAUAACUUUUUAAUUAUUAUGAACAAAAUUAUCAGCAAUGAGAAUAGAAAUCUUUGUUAGAAACCAUUAUAAUGUGAAAUCUGGAAAAUUGUAAAAUAAGUG